UACAGAGGGCGCAAGCGUUGUUCGGAUUCAUUGGGCGUAAAGGGUGCGUAGGCGGCGCGGUAAGUCGGGUGUGAAAUCUUGGAGCUUAACUCCGAAACUGCAUUCGAUACUGCCGUGCUUGAGGACUGGAGAGGAGACUGGAAUUUACGGUGUAGCGGUGAAAUGCGUAGAUAUCGUAAGGAAGACCAGUGGCGAAGGCGGGUCUCUGGACAGUUCCUGACGCUGAGGCACGAAGGUCAGGGGAGCAAACAGG
This 253-nucleotide ribosomal RNA is filed under the name uncultured bacterium. RNAcentral's name for it is "partial 16S ribosomal RNA". It matches the Rfam family "Bacterial small subunit ribosomal RNA", at positions 524 to 776 of the family's 1533-position model. The record is from RNAcentral.